Molecule: ribosomal RNA, 468 nt
Filed under: uncultured bacterium
Lineage: Bacteria
Description: partial 16S ribosomal RNA
Rfam family: Bacterial small subunit ribosomal RNA
Source: RNAcentral
GACGAACGCUGGCGGCGUGCUUAACACAUGCAAGUCGAACGGAAAGGCCCGGCUUUUGUUGGUUUCUCGUUUGGCGAACGGGUGAGUAUCACGUGUGUAUCCUGCCCUUGUCUUUGGGAGAUCUUCUGGGGACUCGGGCUCAUACAGCAUAGGAUCUCCUGCUGCAUGGUGGUGGAUGGAAAGUUUCGGCGGUUGGGGCUGGACUCGCGGCUUAUCAGCUUGUUGGUGGGGUAGUGGCGUACCAAGGCUUCGACGGGUAGCCGGCCUGAGAGGGUUAACGGGCACAUGGGGACUGAGGUACGGACCAGAAGGCUACGGGAGGCAGCAGGGGGGAACAUGACACAGUGGGCGGAAGCCUGAUGCAGCAACGUCGCGUGCGGGAUGACGGCCUUCGAGUUGUAAACAGCUGUCGCAUGUGACGAAGCGUGCGUGACGGUAAUGGGUAAAGAAGCACCGGCUAACUACGUG